Molecule: non-coding RNA, 626 nt
Organism: Paralichthys olivaceus (Japanese flounder)
Lineage: Eukaryota; Metazoa; Chordata; Actinopteri; Pleuronectiformes; Paralichthyidae
Source: RefSeq, a predicted model, not a curated record
UUCAUCUGGGCUGUUUGAUUUGAGGCCUCCGCCCUGGACGUGGCUCCUCCAUCAGUGGAGAUCAGCAGCGGUAAGAGGACGAACAAAAGUGACUUGAGGCGCCCUCACCGUUCUCGCCCACUGCUCUGCUGGACAGACAGAGCUGCCCCGGGGGACACUUCAGAGGGUAUCUGAUGCAGUCCAGAGAGGAAACCAGCUGUGGUCAUCCUGAACAGAAGAAUCCCGUCUGAGACUCGUCUCAAAGGCGUGAAGUCGGUUUCCUCUGCGUGUUUAGCUGCAGAGAUCUGAAGGCCAUCGUUGACGGUGCAGUGUGCAGCUUUCUGCCUGGCGAUGGCGCUGGUCAGCUUCUGUCUGAUGGUUUCCCUCAGUAGCUGUGACUGGUUGACUGUCACAGUAGAUGACUCUAAGACUUGUUUGCACUCUGCAGGAGGACCAACCAGAGAUGAGCCAUUUCAUUUAAUUUUCUUGUUAGACUUAGUUUAGUGAUGAGGGUCUGAGCGGUGCUGUAACGUCCUGAAGCCGAGCCGCUGUGAGGCAGCAGCUCCAGGACACGAGCUCUCUCCCCGGCACAGUCCAGCAGCCGUCUGCUGCUCUGACCCAGGGCCUGGACCACACAUGUUGCAAAA